Molecule: non-coding RNA, 85 nt
Organism: Felis catus (domestic cat)
Lineage: Eukaryota; Metazoa; Chordata; Mammalia; Carnivora; Felidae
Source: Rfam
GCCUGGGUGGCUCAGUCGGUUGAGCGGCUGACUUCGGCUCAGGUCACGAUCUCGCGGUCCGUGAGUUCGAGCCCCGCGUCGGGCU